AAGUUUAAAGGGCCAAACGAGCGCUAAAGCUGCCCCCAUUCUAACCCUUUUAUUGAGGUUGUUUUGCUGCUUAAUAUUCAAGCAGGGGCGGAGCAGACAAUGAGUUUCUGUAAUUUCUCCCAAAAUUAAAUGUUUCCUUCUUCUCAAUUAUAAAUCGAUCCCUGUUCUUUGUUCUUACUUGUUAAUUCCCAAAUCGACAUUAGAUAAUAGGACUCCACUCUAGCCUGCGAUAGGGCAGGCGACUCCACUCCAAUCUAGCUCUCCAAUCAGUUAAGGUAAUUACUUUAGUCCUUCUAUAUUUUAUCUUAUUUU
This 312-nucleotide long non-coding RNA is filed under the name Olea europaea (common olive). RNAcentral's name for it is "long non-coding RNA (OEUR_LNC013196)". Lineage: Eukaryota; Viridiplantae; Streptophyta; Magnoliopsida; Lamiales; Oleaceae. The record is from RNAcentral.